Octodon degus (degu) is the source of this 135-nucleotide small nucleolar RNA. Lineage: Eukaryota; Metazoa; Chordata; Mammalia; Rodentia; Octodontidae. The record is from Ensembl.
UGGUCCAUUCUAAUACCUGCUGGUCAGGCCAUGGCCUGCCAGGUUUCGCUUGUGGACUAUAGCACUCGAGGAGCUUGACCUGAAGGAAUGAGCGAGGCCCCUGUGGGCUCGUGCUAGAGGUGCUUCUGGACACUC